RNAcentral lists this long non-coding RNA (215 nucleotides) under Elaeis guineensis (African oil palm). RNAcentral's name for it is "long non-coding RNA (EGUI_LNC038246)". The record is from RNAcentral. Lineage: Eukaryota; Viridiplantae; Streptophyta; Magnoliopsida; Arecales; Arecaceae.
UGGUGUGUGGAGUUUAUUUUGUGCACUGAAAGCAUAAUAGGUGUCCCAUGGGAUGGGACGCCCCUUCCUAGCCUUUACCCAAUUUAUUCCAUGCAAAUUCAAUCUUGGGCAUGGACAUUUGGUUAGUUAUCAGAGGUUUGGAUGAUUAGAUAAGUUUAAAAUCAAGAUAAACUUGAUCUAACCUAGCCACCCAUGUUAACCCAUGCACCACUUGG